UACGGAGGAUGCGAGCGUUAUCCGGAUUUAUUGGGUUUAAAGGGUGCGUAGGCGGGAUGCCAAGUCAGCGGUAAAAAUGCGGUGCUCAACGCCGUCGAGCCGUUGAAACUGGCGUUCUUGAGUGGGCGAGAAGUAUGCGGAAUUCGUGGUGUAGCGGUGAAAUGUAUAGAUAUCACGCAGAACUCCGAUUGCGAAGGCAGCAUACCGGCGCCCUACUGACGCUGAGGCACGAAAGCGUGGGUAUCGAACAGG
RNAcentral lists this ribosomal RNA (252 nucleotides) under uncultured bacterium. Its description in RNAcentral is "partial 16S ribosomal RNA". It matches the Rfam family "Bacterial small subunit ribosomal RNA", at positions 524 to 776 of the family's 1533-position model. The record is from RNAcentral.